RNAcentral lists this ribosomal RNA (1083 nucleotides) under uncultured bacterium. RNAcentral's name for it is "bacterial SSU rRNA". It matches the Rfam family "Bacterial small subunit ribosomal RNA", at positions 340 to 1397 of the family's 1533-position model. The record is from RNAcentral.
UACGGGAGGCAGCAGUGGGGAAUAUUGGACAAUGGGCGCAAGCCUGAUCCAAGCAAUACCGCGUGUUAUGAAGAAGGCCCUGAGGGUUGUAAAGUACUUUCAAUUGUGAAGAAAAGCUAAUGGUUAAUACCCAUUAGCCUUUGACGUUAACUUUAGAAGAAGCAACCGGCUUAACUCCGUGCCAGCCAGUCCGCGGUAAUACGGAGGGUGCAAGCGUUAAUCGGAAUUACUGGGCGUAAAGAAUAAGUAGGUGGUUUGUUAAGUUACCAUGUGAAAGACCAAGGGCUCAACCUAGGAACUGCAUUCUAAAACUGGCGAACUAGAGUUAUACGAGAGGAAAGUGGAAUUUCAGGUGUAGCGGCUGAAAUGCGUAGAUAUCUGAAGGAACAUCAAUGGCGAAGGCAGCUUUCUGGACUAAUACUGACACUGAGGUACGAAAGCGUGGGUAGCAAACAGGAUUAGAUACCCUGGUAGUCCACGCCGUAAACGAUGACAACUAGCCGUUGGGAGGAUUUACCUCUUAGUGGCGAAGCUAACGCGUUAAGUUGUCCGCCUGGGGAGUACGGCCGCAAGGCUAAAACUCAAAGGAAUUGACGGGGACCCGCACAAGCGGUGGAGCAUGUGGUUUAAUUCGAUGCAACGCGAAGAACCUUACCUGGUCUUGACAUACACGGAACUUUCCAGAGAUGGAUUGGUGCCUUCGGGAACCGUGAUACAGGUUGCUGCAUGGCUGUCGUCAGCUCGUGUCGUGAGAUGUUGGGUUAAGUCCCGUAACGAGCGCAACCCUUAUCCUUAUUUGCCAGCACAUCAUGGUGGGAACUAUAAAGGAGACUGCCCGGUGAUAAACCGGAGGAAGGCGGGGACGACGUCAAGUCAUCAUGGCCCUUUACGACCAGGGCUACACACGUGCCUACAAUGGGAAGGACAAAGGGUCGCAACCUCGCGAGAGCAAGCUAAUCUCAUAAACCUUUUCGUAGUCCGGAUCGGAGUCUGCAACUCGACUCCGUGAAGUCGGAAUCGCUAGUAAUCGUGGAUCAGAAUGCCACGGUGAAUACGUUCCCGGGUCUUGUACACACCGCCCGU